This 65-nucleotide transfer RNA is filed under the name Potomida littoralis. RNAcentral's name for it is "tRNA-Leu". Lineage: Eukaryota; Metazoa; Mollusca; Bivalvia; Unionida; Unionidae. The record is from RNAcentral.
UGCAAGUUAGUACACUUAAUACCUUUAAUUUAGGCUUAAAAGAAAGACUUCAAAUCUACUUGCAA